Molecule: ribosomal RNA, 253 nt
Filed under: uncultured bacterium
Lineage: Bacteria
Description: partial 16S ribosomal RNA
Rfam family: Bacterial small subunit ribosomal RNA
Source: RNAcentral
UACAGAGGUGGCAAGCGUUGUUCGGAAUUACUGGGCGUAAAGGGCGCGUAGGCGGUCCGAUAAGUCCCGUGUGAAAUCCCUCGGCUCAACUGAGGAAUGGCACGGGAAACUGCCGGGCUUGAGUUCGGGAGAGGGAAGCGGAAUUCCGGGUGUAGCGGUGAAAUGCGUAGAUAUCCGGAGGAACACCGGUGGCGAAGGCGGCUUCCUGGACCGACACUGACGCUGAGGCGCGAAAGCUAGGGGAGCAAACAGG